This 585-nucleotide ribosomal RNA is filed under the name uncultured bacterium. RNAcentral describes it as "bacterial SSU rRNA". It matches the Rfam family "Bacterial small subunit ribosomal RNA", at positions 9 to 642 of the family's 1533-position model. The record is from RNAcentral.
GAGUUUGAUCCUGGCUCAGAGCGAACGCUGGCGGCAGGCCUAACACAUGCAAGUCGAACGCCCCGCAAGGGGAGUGGCAGACGGGUGAGUAACGCGUGGGAACGUACCUUUCGGUUCGGAAUAACCCGGGGAAACUCGGGCUAAUACCGGAUACGUCCGCAAGGAGAAAGAUUUAUCGCCGAAAGAUCGGCCCGCGUUGGAUUAGCUAGUUGGUGAGGUAACGGCUCACCAAGGCGAUGAUCCAUAGCUGGUCUGAGAGGACGAUCAGCCACACUGGGACUGAGACACGGCCCAGACUCCUACGGGAGGCAGCAGUGGGGAAUAUUGGACAAUGGGCGCAAGCCUGAUCCAGCCAUGCCGCGUGAGUGAUGAAGGCCUUAGGGUUGUAAAGCUCUUUUACCAGGGAAGAUAAUGACGGUACCUGGAGAAUAAGCCCCGGCUAACUUCGUGCCAGCAGCCGCGGUAAUACGAAGGGGGCUAGCGUUGCUCGGAAUCACUGGGCGUAAAGCGCACGUAGGUGGGUUUCUAAGUCAGGGGUGAAAUCCUGGAGCUCAACUCCAGAACUGCCUUUGAUACUGGGAAUCU